This 460-nucleotide ribosomal RNA is filed under the name uncultured bacterium. RNAcentral describes it as "partial 16S ribosomal RNA". It matches the Rfam family "Bacterial small subunit ribosomal RNA", at positions 338 to 795 of the family's 1533-position model. The record is from RNAcentral.
CCUACGGGUGGCAGCAGUGAGGAAUAUUGGUCAAUGGACGAGAGUCUGAACCAGCCAAGUAGCGUGAAGGAUGACGGCCUUAUGGGUUGUAAACUUCUUUUAUAAAGGAAUAAAUGGAGGUACGUGUCACUUUUUCCAUGUAUCUUAUGAUUAAGGAUCGGCUUACUCCGUGCCAGCAGCCGCGGUAAUACGGAGGAUCCGAGCGUUAACCGGAUUUAUUGGGUUUAAAGGGAGCGUAGUGGGGUUGUUAAGUCAGUUGUGAAAGUUUGCGGCUCAACCGUAAAAUUGCAUUUGAUACUGGCAGUCUUGAGUACAGUUGAGGUAGGCGGAAUUCGUGGUGUAGCGGUGAAAUGCUUAGAUAUCACGAAGAACACCGAUUGCGAAGGCAGCUUACUAAACUGUGACUGACGUUGAUGCUCGAAAGUGUGGGUAUCAAACAGGAUUAGAUACCCGGGUAGUC